This 377-nucleotide ribosomal RNA is filed under the name uncultured bacterium. RNAcentral's name for it is "bacterial SSU rRNA". It matches the Rfam family "Bacterial small subunit ribosomal RNA", at positions 523 to 898 of the family's 1533-position model. The record is from RNAcentral.
AUACGUAGGGGGCAAGCGUUGUCCGGAAUGAUUGGGCGUAAAGGGCGCGUAGGCGGCCUUUUAAGUCCGAUGUGAAAUUCCUGUUUUUAAGGCAGGAAUUGCAUUGGAAACUGGAGGGCUUGAGUGCAGGAGAGGUAAGCGGAAUUCCCGGUGUAGCGGUGAAAUGCGUAGAGAUCGGGAGGAACACCAGUGGCGAAGGCGGCUUACUGGACUGUAACUGACGCUGAGGCGCGAAAGUGUGGGGAGCAAACAGGAUUAGAUACCCUGGUAGUCCACACUGUAAACGAUGAGUGCUAGGUGUAGGAGGUAUCGACCCCUUCUGUGCCGGAGUCAACACAAUAAGCACUCCGCCUGGGGAGUACGGCCGCAAGGUUGAA